UGAUUGCUUGUUGGAUAUUAU
RNAcentral lists this microRNA (21 nucleotides) under Populus trichocarpa (black cottonwood). RNAcentral describes it as "ptc-miR6464". The record is from miRBase by way of RNAcentral. Lineage: Eukaryota; Viridiplantae; Streptophyta; Magnoliopsida; Malpighiales; Salicaceae.